This 203-nucleotide long non-coding RNA is filed under the name Vulpes vulpes (red fox). RNAcentral's name for it is "lncRNA (ENSVVUG00000018148.1)". Lineage: Eukaryota; Metazoa; Chordata; Mammalia; Carnivora; Canidae. The record is from RNAcentral.
GGAGAACAGUGGGCAUCUUGUGAGAUCCUCACCUGAGGGAAUGAACUUUGCCAGCGCCUCUGCAAAGGAAAACAUUUAGCAUUCUACUCGUACCGUAUUAUUCUGGAGUCUUACCUGAUGAAAAUAGCAAGCAAAAGUACCAAAGGACUGAAUUUCACAUGGAAAGAGAGGAAAGUAGGACAUUCCUGUGGCUUCACACUCAC